Molecule: ribosomal RNA, 331 nt
Filed under: uncultured bacterium
Lineage: Bacteria
Description: bacterial SSU rRNA
Rfam family: Bacterial small subunit ribosomal RNA
Source: RNAcentral
AGGGUGCGCAGGCGGACUAUUAAGUCAGUGGUGAAAUCCCGGGGCUCAACCCCGGAACUGCCWUUGAUACUGUUAGUCUUGAAUACGGUUGAAGUAGGCGGAAUGUAGCAUGUAGCGGUGAAAUGCAUAGAGAUGCUACAGAACACCGAUCGCGAAGGCAGCUUACUAAGCCGAUAUUGACGCUCAGGCACGAAAGCGUGGGGAGCGAACAGGAUUAGAUACCCUGGUAGUCCACGCCGUAAACUAUGAUCACUCGUUGUUGGCAAUACACAGUCAGUGACUAAGCGAAAGCGAUAAGUGAUCCACCUGGGGAGUACGAUCGCAAGGUUGA